This 424-nucleotide ribosomal RNA is filed under the name uncultured bacterium. RNAcentral describes it as "bacterial SSU rRNA". It matches the Rfam family "Bacterial small subunit ribosomal RNA", at positions 361 to 776 of the family's 1533-position model. The record is from RNAcentral.
AUUUUGCACAAUGGGCGCAAGCCUGAUGCAGCAACGCCGCGUGAGUGAAGAAGGCCUUUGGGUUGUAAAGCUCUUUCGGCUGGGAAGAUGGGUUCCUUUGCGAAUAGCACUGGAAUUUGACGGUACCAGAAGAAGAAGCACCUGCUAACUACGUGCCAGCAGCAGCGGUAAUACGUAGGGUGCUAGCGUUGUUCGGAAUUAUUGGGCGUAAAGCGCGCGUAGGCGGGUUUGUAAGUCGAUUGUGAAAGCCCUGGGCUUAACCUGGGAAUGGCAGUCGAAACUGCAAAUCUUGAAUACCUAAGAGGAUGGCGGAAUUCCCGGUGUAGUAGUGAAAUACGUAGAUAUCGGGAGGAACACCUGAGGCGAAGGCGGCUAUCUGGUGGUGUAUUGACGCUGAGGCGCGAAAGCGUGGGGAGCAAACAGG